This 465-nucleotide ribosomal RNA is filed under the name uncultured bacterium. Its description in RNAcentral is "partial 16S ribosomal RNA". It matches the Rfam family "Bacterial small subunit ribosomal RNA", at positions 28 to 507 of the family's 1533-position model. The record is from RNAcentral.
GACGAACGCUGGCGGCGUGCUUAACACAUGCAAGUCGAACGGAAAGGCCCCUUUGGGGGUACUCGAGUGGCGAACGGGUGAGUAACACGUGAGUAACCUGCCCUUGACUUCGGGAUAACUUCAGGAAACUGGGGCUAAUACCGGAUAGGAAUCCUUGCUGCAUGGUGGGGGGUGGAAAGCUUCGGCGGUUUUGGAUGGACUCGCGGCUUAUCCGCUUGUUGGUGGGGUAGUGGCUUACCAAGGCUUUGACGGGUAGCCGGCCUGAGAGGGCGACCGGCCCCAUUGGGACUGGGCUACGGCCCAGACUCCUACGGGGGGCAGCAGUGGGGAAUAUUGCACAAUGGGCGGACGCCUGAUGCAGCAACGCCGCGUGCGGGAUGACGGCCUUCGGGUUGUAAACCGCUUUCAGCAGGGGCGAAGCUUGUGGUGACGGUACCUGCAGAAGAAGCACCGGCUAACUACGUG